CCAUAUUGCAACAAAAUUGGAAUAAACUUGUCAAAUUUUUUUCUGCUUCUGUUAUAAUGAGAUUUUUUUUUUUUUGGUAAAGUGUUAUAAUGAGAUUUAUAUUUAGGAAAAUUCUAGGAUGAAGUCACAAAUUUCACUCCUUUAAAGAAGUUGCCACUAUGGCCAAUGAAAUGAUAAGUUGGACUGGUCCACUGCCACAUAAGAUUAUAUGGUACAUAAGGCUUACCAUACAUCUUCUUAUCAAUUUUCAUUGCAAUAAAGCCCCUAACAAAUUAAAACUUGCAAAAUUACCCCAACUUAAUAUUGUUUUAUUAAUUAUAAUUCACAUCAUUAUUCCCAAAUAAUCAAACCAAAUAAAACAAAAAGAAAUUACAAUAUCGUCAACUUCNNNNNNNNNNGUCUAGUAAUUAUUAGUGUCUCAGAAUAAUAAAAAUUCAGGGAAAUAAGUUGAUGAAAACAUAUUAUUAUUUAGAUAAAUCUAAUUAUGAAAGGGAAGGAAACAAAGUGCAGUUUUAUGAAAGCCCCCACACAUAGAAAAUAACUGCUUACAUUGUUCCUACACAGUAGAAACUUACUUAGUAGUUCAUUACUUGUCAAAAGAAAUUAAUUUUUCUAGUAAUUUUUUUUUUUAAAAUAAAAUUGGAACUGCAAAUUUGCUGGAGGUGUGGAUAUUAUUGGGCUUCCCACUAUGGUAACCAUCCCCCCAUGUAAUUACUCAUGCUUGGGCCUGCUGUAACCACUGACCCUGGAUCGGCCUGAUAACUGCGUUUAAUCACAAUUUCAUUUUAUUGAAAUCAAAAUAAAACAAAUCAAUAUCAAUACUAGUAUUAAAAUAACAACAAUUUACAUUAAAAUCUACCUUAUCUAUCAAUAAUAUUGCCUACAUUGCUUCAAAUGACUUAUGCUUAAUCUAAGUAAAAAAAAAACUGUACUUCAA
RNAcentral lists this long non-coding RNA (937 nucleotides) under Trifolium pratense (red clover). RNAcentral describes it as "long non-coding RNA (TPRA_LNC005662)". Lineage: Eukaryota; Viridiplantae; Streptophyta; Magnoliopsida; Fabales; Fabaceae. The record is from RNAcentral.